CUUUGCCUCACGAAGGCCCAAUCCACCCUCCUGCAAAGGGGAACAAAUUUUGUGCCAAGAAAUAAGAAAUAGCUUAUUUUUAGACCUCCAAGAACCAACCCCAUGCCAAAACCAGGCGCAUAACGAAUCAAUCUGUUUACAAGUCCAAAAGGCUCUGCAAGAGAUGAACACAUCAUCUGCUUUAAAUUUUCAGAGUUCAUCAAACAACUUUUACAUCAUGAAAAAGAUUAAGCUCUCUGUAAACAGACAAUAGGCGAAAAAGUUAACUCCAUAGCCAAAAAAAAAAGAAAGGAUAUCAACAGACAUCCUUGUCGAAGACCCCGAGAUGGUCGAAAAUAUUCAAAGGCCGCCCCUUCCAAUUUAAUAGAGAAGGAAGAAGAACACAUCAUGGCCCAUAGUUCUGAUGUUACAAAAUUACCCAAAACAGGUGCAUGCUAUACGCCUAUACCUUACCGGCUUACCCCUACAAAUUGGACAAUUUCGUCCUUUCGUCGCUGCAGCUCCUACCCUACGUUGGGAACUCCCUCGUCCACCACCGCCGUUGCACCACUUCCGUUGUCUCCACCACCAAGGACUGGCAUGCUACCUAACAGUGGGCCACCAUCGUCUUCCUACUCAUCUUCUCCCUCUACUUCCUUGCCUUCACUUCCUCCUGUAAUACCUUCACUGCCACCAAGGUUUUGAACCUCGCUUCGAUCCAAGCAAAGGAACUCCUCAAUGGCUAGAAGGUCGUCGUCAUCACCUGCAAGGAGAACUGACUUUUAGGUGGUUUCGUUUACAUAAAAAUGAAGUACCUUCGUUUUUCUGAGGAAGAAAAUGAACACGAAGCCCUUACUUGACCCAAAUUCUCUAGGGUUUUAAAAAUUGAAUAAGCUGAUUUGACUUGGGAGUUUGGAUCAAUACGGGGCUCCUUCUGAUUAACUCCGAUUCUAUGCUUAAUGAGUCCAUUCGAGUUUGGUCAAUUUCUAUUUGAAUCCAACAGAUUCUGAGAUCAUUCGAAUUGAAAUCGAUGGAAAUGAAUUCCAAGAUUUAAAACUUUGCAAUUCUCUCGUUGUAUCCUACCCUCCGAACCACUUCAAGGGAGCGGAUCUAAGCUAACAAGGAGUUCCUGCAACUAUUUUAAUGGAGAAAUGCAAGAACAAGAACUCAUGUAUGCAUGGCGUGACCAGAACCAGACAAAAGACCUCCCAAUUUUGGUUUUCUCCUCAACUUUGUUGCCGCGUGACAAGACUUGGAGGUAAAUCAGUAGAAUAACUUUACCUAAAUCUUUAAUGAUUGUUAAAAUCUAAAAAUCUUAUCGAAAAGCUGAUGAAUGGAAUCGCAUUAAAGCUUUCUAUGCUUGUAGGUGAAAAUUCGAGGAAGGGUAGUAGAAGAUUAACAGUAGCUUUCCAUGGACACUCUUCAUUAAUUUUUGUCGGCCAUCAUUCUUAUGAUCCUUGUUGUUUCAACUUCAUUGAAUUAGAAAAGGGUUUUGACUAAAUUCUUGUUUCAUCAUUCUUUUAACGUUUCCUAAUCAACCCUAACUUUGGAUUUUGGUGUUAUCGUUAUGACUUAGAACAUUUUAUUUUCGAUUAAUUCUAUUCCACUGUUCCAGGUUGCUUGCGCAAGAAACUAGCAAUAUUGAUUGGUACAGGUACUCGAAGCUCAGAUUUUAAAAUUGGGUAUUAGUGCUCCUCACAUGCAGGCCUUCGGAAGCUCGAAGGAGAGAGUGAUUCAUCAUUUAUGCUUCCGAAAAAGGGGAAAAAUUGAGAUAUGUCCACCUUUCUAUGUAAAGAGAGAGAAUUCCCCGAGCAUCUGUUUUAUCUUAUUCUUAUCUCGUCGUGAUGAACACUUUUAGAGAGAGAGAGAGAGAGAGAGAAGGAGAAAAGUGGGGCACGAAAGAGACUGCGCAAAGUAAAGAAGCAACACAGAGCGUGUCAUCCCUCCUUGGAUGAAAUUUAUUUCCUUUUUUUCCAAUUGUAUUCGAAUCUAACCUCACUUUCAUGGAGUCAUUUCAUCAUGAAAGUGAAGGCUGAAAAGCGCGUUUCAAUUUGCUCUGCAAUUUCCACCUACUUUCUCUGCAAAGAAUGCUACUCAGUCCUUACUCAAAAGUCUCAAACUCAGUAUCUUUGACUCGCUACGCGAUUUAGUCAGUUCGUUUGAUAUUUGGACUUGAAGAAUCUCACUCAGAUAAUUUUUUUUAAUAAUGUAAGAUAUUCACCUCCUCUGCUUUUCUGUGGACAAUUCAAAAUAUCGUUGUUUCAGUGUAAUUGCUGUGCCUAUAAUACUUUCUGAUUAAAUGGAAAUGUUGGUGAGCGUGUUCUUUACGGCUCCAAUGAGAACUUCCAUGCACCUUCGCUACAGUUGGUUAGUUAUCAUUUCUACUUAUAGUAGAUCACCUCGGUGGGUGGAGGGCAUUUCACAGGCACAGUUUUAGCAAUUUCGGACCUUUUGCUUUGUAGUUUUAGGGUCUUGGAUUCUGGCUGCUGUGUAGUUGGUUCAUUUAUCAUUUCUUGGUUCGUCUGAUGGUACCCAAAAGGUAUCUUCACGAGGAGAAUGAUGGUUUAGACGUUCAAGUUCAGGAAUCAAAGCGUUGUCAUACACUAUCAACUGUUGUGAGAGAGCUGAUGCAAGGAUUGUCCAUGCAAGAAUUCUAUGCAAAGUUGGAACCUUUUCUGAGAAAUGUGGUGCGAGAGGAGGUGGAACGUGUAAUUUUACCCUAUAUCCAAUCUUCCCCCAGGUAUUGCUUUGUUCAAGUGUUUGUGGUUGUUUAUUAAUAAUGUAUCGCUGCGUAGGCCCAAAGUUUUUUGUUUGUUAAUUUGCUUGUGGUUUUAUAUUUACACUUCCUAGGAAUCUUUGGCUACUUUUUAUUCAUGGUCCUGAGGUUCAUCUGAGUAUCGAAAUCCUGUGUAAUAUUAUUAUCACCUUCUUUUAUGGUCUAUUCUUCUAAACUUAAGUUCUAUACGUAGGUAAUCAUGUUGUGGCUUUCUCCUUUUGUGAUUUAAGAGUGGGGUGGGUUGGGUUUGCUAUGCUGUAGGAGUGGCACUAGAACUGUUAUUUUGUUGGUGCUGGGUGGUCUGUGAGGUUCUUGAUGGGUUGUUGGGUUUGGUGAGGCAGUGGAAUAUAGGCCUUGGAUGUUCAGGAGAUCAGUGAUCCUCUUUGCUAUAUUCUUUUCUUUUCUUUUCUUUUCUGGUUAGAUUUCUCUUAUCU
This is a long non-coding RNA of Macadamia integrifolia, 3189 nucleotides long. RefSeq lists it as uncharacterized. Lineage: Eukaryota; Viridiplantae; Streptophyta; Magnoliopsida; Proteales; Proteaceae. The transcript has 5 exons. The record is from RefSeq and is a predicted model, not a curated record.